Molecule: long non-coding RNA, 694 nt
Filed under: Nicotiana benthamiana
Lineage: Eukaryota; Viridiplantae; Streptophyta; Magnoliopsida; Solanales; Solanaceae
Description: long non-coding RNA (NBEN_LNC020801)
Source: RNAcentral
GAACAUCCUGAGUAGUAAAUCCUUGUGCUUUAGGUUGUCAUUGGUAUUGUCCGGAAUGUUGAUUUAUCUGUAGAGUACUCAUUUCAGUUGGACUCAUAUAACCUGACAGUUCUUUACAAAGAAAGUGCCUUUUCAUACCUUACUAUAGAAAUUUUUACUAUUAAAAAUAAUUCAAUACCAGCUCACACAGUAAUCCUACUAGAAAGAAAAAAAUUCUAUACUCUUAUAAUGCAUUAAGAAUAUGCAAUCAUUCUAUAUAUGGUGUAAUAGGGGCCAGCAAAACUAUGCCAGCCACACAAAAGAAAACACCAAAAAUAUAAAUAUAGGUAAUAGUCUUACUAUACUAGCAUUGAUCAUGAUCUCCCUGAAUUCUGUUGCUCGAUGGUUUGCCGACUUGUAAACAAUCAAUUGGAGGUAGAGUAGGAGUAUACAACUCUCCGAACGUCUGCCAACAAUAUGGAUCAUACAUGUGGUAACGCUCUUGUAUUGGCUUUAAUUGGAUAUCCGUCAACGUCACGUCUUGGCAUGGCAUACUGUCACUGCAUGCUAGAUGCACUGGUUUUACUGUAUAUGUUCCUCUAAUUCUGUUGGAUAUCCGUCAACGUCACGUCUUGACAUGGCAUACUGUCACUGCAUGCUAGAUGCACUGGUUUUACUGUGUAUGUUCCUCUAAUUCUUUCAAAGUUGAUUCCUG